CAGGGUUAGUCGGUCAGCUCCUCUAGCUCCUCUUCGACCCCACUCCAGCCCCUGUCCAGCCCCCUGUCCAGCCCCUCUCCUCUCGCUAUGGGUCUCCCAGAGCAGCCGCUUUACUUUUCCGAAGCUUGAGCCCGCUGAGGCGGCAAUAAGCCCGACUAUAAACCCGGCAGUGGCCGGGCUGCGCUCCUGUCACCAUAGCGCGUGGUGGGCUCAGAGCCGGCUGAGAGUGAUGUCCACAUCUGGGUGGGCUUGGUGCGUGCACACACACUGCUCUGGGUUUGGGGUCUGCGGAGGGAUUUGAGCUCCGGGAAAAAUUCUGCUGUUUGUGGUUCACGUAAAACGCUGGACACGGGCAUCAGAUCUGUCUCGGCUGUGGAUGACACGGACCUGAGUCACUUUUAGGUGCAAGGCAGCUGGGCAGGACGCAGGUGGUCGUCUGGCCUUAGGGCAGGGAGGAGUGGUGAGAUGAGCGUUACACAGGGUGGGCUGCGGCAAACGGAGCGCACCGCCUGGUUUGCUGUGUCUAGGAGCCGCAGGCGGGGGAACUACGCACGCACACUCCAAUCUCAUUAAAUCUUAACACAUCGCUCUUAGAAAGAGGGGGUCAUAGCCACUGCGCAUCAUUGUCCUCACAUCCCCCAACCCUGUGGCCGCCCUGUGCAGAGGGAAGCUGACAAAAUCGGACCCUGGGUAACAUUCGGAGCCCCCCUAAACGCGUAUAAUCUCAGCUGUAUGGGUCUACACACUUCCAAGUGCCAAUACUGAACUUUGGUUCAAACUUUGGACAACUAUCGCCACGCGCGAUGGCUCAACCAUUUGGGUAUCCACUGAAUGGUCCAGAUGGGUCGCCACAGUCAACUCAAUCCCCUCCGACCCCAGCGCUGGGUCAGCCAUUGGGCUGGGGUCACGCCAAUCAAGGCUGCCUGGCGAAUGAGCAGGGGCCGUCAGACCGGAAAACGGAUAUGAGUGGGAGGUCCAAUAGGGGGCGCCGCGUUGGAACGCCCUAAGAGGCUGUGCUGCUGGGGUGGUUGAAAGCGGUUGGUAGGCGGCGUAUGGUGACCAGGCCUGGGGAUGCCACGAGGCUGGCUGAUGCCGUGGGGGCACUCUUCCUGAUGCCCCAAGUCACAAAGGCUGAAAGGGGGGGUCGGGGCUGUCAGGGGCCGACCCUCGUUCUCGCUGAUGGCGGUGGCCAAACCCCCCCUAACACAGGGAUCCGCCGCUGGGGGCGAGGCGAGGAGGAUUUCCAUGGCCUGGAGGUAGAGGGCCAAGACCCUGAGGAGAGAGGGGGCUCAGUGCCCCCGAUGCAGAGGAGCUGCCCCAGAUGGAUAAGGAGUUGAGGGCCCGGGGAUGCUGAGCCCUGCCAAGUGGAAGUGACUGGCUACCAGAAUCUGAAAACCCCAAAUCACUUGGGUGACUGGGGGUCAGAGCUGAAACUCUACCUCAGAUCAGCAGUGGGACUUGAAAGACCCCAGAAGUGUGGCCAGAUGUUUGAAGAGCUGACUCACUCGAAAGGCAGCUGGGUAGCCUGGCCCCAAGGAUCCAAGGACCCAGUGUGGAGAAUCCCUGGGGCGAGGGUUCCCACGGCCCUCCGCCUGGACAGCUCUUGGACCUGCUCUUGGACUUGGCCACGUGGUCACAGGCCGCAGCGAUUGUGUCAAGGCAGAAGGGCCGGUCCUGCCAGCCUGGACUCCCCAGGGUCAGUCGUGCGUGUGGCCCUGUUGUGGAGGCCUGCCACGAGGUAGGACGUGGCCAGAGCACAGGCGACAGGGCGUGAGGCGGCCGCCCCAGUGAUGCCUGUGACCACGGAGGCCUCGCCUUCUGCUUUGCUUAGGGGUGAGCUGCCAGCGCCUUUCUGAUCUGCAGCCUUCGACGAGAACUGGGGCGGCUGACCUGCGCACAGGUCAGGGCAGCGACAUCCUUUCAGAGAAGCCUUCGGAAGAUGGAAUGUCAGGCCCACGUCACGCGUGAGGCCGCAGCAGAGCUGGGACCGAGUUCUCCCUCACGUGCCCCGAGCCUGCGCCAAGACCCCACCGGCCCACGUCCAGAGGCUGUUCCCUCCCUCAGUGGACGGCGCUGCCUUUGGGCUGGGGAAGCAGGCACGUGCUUGAAUGGGGCGGGAAGGGCGGCGGAGGGAGGCUCUUUGGUUUAUGGUCCUGGAAGAUGCUAGGGUGCAGAGAGGGGGUGCCAGCACCUUGACAUCCAUGUUGGUCUGGGGCCACCCUCGGCCUCUGUGGGGGGUGGGGCUGGGAGGGGGCGUUAGGCACAGCCCUGUGGGAAGUGACAAUGAAGGACCCUUCCGGAGGGCCCCCCCCCAAUCCUGUUGUGCUUGAUUCAGAGGGUUGGGUGGAGGCUUUCCUGAAGGCUCUGAGAAGCGCUGCGCCCACAGGCUGUGUCAGGGCAGGACGUGGGACAGGGAAAGGCCGCCCAGCUCGGCCUGGUCGCGCCGCUGCUCCGGGCCGCAGUGUCUCCCACCGCCUGGAGUACAGCCCACCUCAACUCUGGCCUCGGGCGUCUGCCACCCCCAAGAGGCCCCCGCCGUUCUUCGGCCCGCAGCUGUCUGCAGCCUGCACCUGGGCCUGCUCCUCCCCUUCUGGGGGCCUUCUCACCGUCACCCUGGUGGCCCACUUGGCCUGGCCAGCCCUCCCCACCUUUAGGAAGCCCCUCAACGUGCAGCCCUCCUCACCAGGCAUCACAAGCCCCUCAUCCAGGUCCCUGUGCUGGAUGCUUGUUUGCUGCCCGCUCUGCAGAGUGCUCUGUUCUCCAGCUUCUGUCUCCAUGCGGGGCACACAGUAGGUGCCUAAUAAAUCUGUAGAACGAGUAAGUGGCCAUCUUUCUCUCUGUUCAUUCCCUGUAGAGCUUUCUCUGCUCCACUUGUGCAAACCCUAGAAGCAUGUGUGUGUGCAUUUGGGCUCAUCCGCCCUUCCCAGUUUGCUUCUAACUCACGGUUGAUACUUUGGGGGUCCCCUGACACCUGCUUCCUCCACCCGAGACCAAGUCAGGCCCCCACUGCCCUUUCUCUCAUCACAGUUUGCUCUCUUCCUUCAUGGUAUUUAUCACAGCACGGAACCAUGUGCUUGUUUUCUUAAUGCCCAUCUUCCUACUGCACUGAACCCCAAGGAGCAGGGCCUAUCUUUCUUGCGCAUGAAGAACAGAAUGGGCAUUCAAGUGAUUGCUGGAUGGAUGGAUGGGAGGAUGGACGGAUGGGUGGGUGGAUGGCUGGCUGGCUGGGUGGGUGGGUGGAUGGGCAGACAAAUGGGUGGACAGAACAAAAAGAUUCAGACACUUCAAUAGUUGAAACAUCUAUCACAAAUGCAGAGCCACUUCUUGACAAUUCAUGGGACACUCUGGGCACGGGCAGGAGGUACGGGGGCGGCAGAUGCUCAACAGGCUGGGGGUGGCCUGAGGGGGACCUCUGGUGCCCAGCCCUCAAGAGGUUGCUUCAUAUAGAGACUGAUGGAUGGAUGAAGAAAUGGUUCCAGAGCAGCACGUCUACACGGGUAGUGUAUCUACAUGGGUAGUGCGUCUACACAGACUAAUGCAUCUACCAGGCCACAUGUCUGCAUGGCCAGUGUGUCUUCGCGGGCUAAUGUACACGCAUUGGUUUCCUAGCUCUGUCCAGGAAAGAAGGCGGAGGAGCAACGACGCCCAGGAGCAGCAAGCACCCCCCACACUCAGAGUUUGGUUUCUAAUACCAUUUUCCAAUAAAAGGAAACAGGCUC
Non-coding RNA from Vicugna pacos (alpaca), 3719 nucleotides. The record is from RefSeq and is a predicted model, not a curated record. Lineage: Eukaryota; Metazoa; Chordata; Mammalia; Artiodactyla; Camelidae.